GUUUCUCAUGCAUCUUCAUUAAGACCAAAUAGAGACCCUCCUUCUUACUUACAUAGUAGUAACGUUAACCAAAAAAUUCUUAAGCCAUAUUUUACCAUAAAAUAUGGAUUAUUCCGGGCACCUCGAGCACAUGCUCUGCAAGCAUGGCGGAGACGAUGACGUCAGCUUCGACCAAAACAGCUUCGGUGCGGCCGCAGCGAUAGCCUCGAGCGAACAAAUUCUGACGUCAGCCAUCGAUUCCAUGAAGCUCAACCAAGUAGUUCACCUACAGAUUGCCGAUUUGAGCCUCGGAGCCGCAGGCCACACGUUUUCCGCGGUAGACACGGUAGUUGAGGUGUUAAGGCGGAAGCUGGCCAUGAUUAACGGCGGAACCGAGCCAGCGUUUGAAGUCUUCUUCUCCGACCUGCGCCCUUCGAAGGACUUCACCUCGUCGUUUCGACCGUUGGAAGACAGAGUUGACGGCUCGGGGAAGAAGUACUACUCCGCUGGCGUUUCCGGCUCGUUCAGUUGGAGGCUGUUUCCGAAAGGAGAGCUCCAUGUUGUUGUGACGAGUUCCUUACAAUGGCUCUCUCGGAUACCGAGAAAGGUGAUGAAGAAAGGAUCGGAGCGAUGGAAUAAGGGAAGGGCGUGGAUUCAAGGAGCACAGAGAGAAGUUGUAGAGGCAUACGCGGAGCAGUCAGACAAGGACUUAGUCCAGUUCUUGAAAUGUCGGAAAGAAGAAAUUAUGGUAGGAGGAAUGUUGUUUAUGUUGAUGGCUGGUCGACCUUCUGACUUAGAGAGUCAAGUCAGUGAUGAAUCCCGUCUCAAGCUCAUUUUCACAACUUUCAUGGAUCAAGCAUGGCAAGAUCUAGUAGAUGAGGGUUCAAUAAAAGAGGAGAGAAGAGAUGGUUUCAACAUUCCGGUCUACCUUAGAAACACAGAGGAAGUGGCGGCUGCGAUAGAAAGUUGUGGUGGUUUCAAGAUAGAGAAGAUGGAGCUAUUGAAAAUAGAUGACCCUAUGAAUGCUAGACAGCAAGAGUUUAUGAAAGAUCCGGAUUCAUACGGUCGAGCCAUGGCUAAUUUGGUUCAGCUGGUCUUAUAAAGCCAAUGGUUGAGAACUAUCUCGGUCCUGACCUAACCAGCAAGUUAUUCAAACGGUAUGCAAUUCGAGCUGCUAACAACAAAGAAUUUCUCACGAAGAAUUAUUUCUAUCAUAUGAUCGCUGUUUCAGCGAUUCGGGUUUGAAGUUAGUUAACUACCUAGCAUGUCAAAGUUUAUAUAUACGAUAUCGUUUGACGGAUGCAAGAUGAAAUAAGUGAUUAUAUUAGACUGAAACCAUUGUAUUUCAGAUAUAUUAUAGAUUAAUAGUAUUGUGUUGUGUUGUCCUUUA
Molecule: RNA transcript, 1369 nt
Organism: Brassica napus (rape)
Lineage: Eukaryota; Viridiplantae; Streptophyta; Magnoliopsida; Brassicales; Brassicaceae
Gene name: gibberellic acid methyltransferase 1-like
Exons: 3
Source: RefSeq, a predicted model, not a curated record